Molecule: long non-coding RNA, 767 nt
Organism: Anguilla rostrata (American eel)
Lineage: Eukaryota; Metazoa; Chordata; Actinopteri; Anguilliformes; Anguillidae
Exons: 5
Source: RefSeq, a predicted model, not a curated record
GGACAGAGAGCAGUGGAAAAUGGGCAGAAAUGAUGUCAGAGAAACGGAGCGCUCUGAUUGGAGGAGAGGCUACCGAGGAGAGCCUAUAAAACCACGAAAGUCCAUACCGGGAACAAGCAAAAGAGGAAAACGGAGGAAGAAAUUCCGAGAACUCCGUGUGGGAGUGUGCUACAGACCCACUGAUCGAAGAUGCUGGGCUGUGGAUGUGUGUUGGUCUCCUAUCUCCUUACUCUAUUCCUCAGCAGUUCCGAUGGCCUCCAAGCAACCCCAGUGACCUCCAAGUGUCCAGACUUGGCGGUGGCAGAGGACUCUCACUCAUGGAGGCCGUCUGGGGAGAGACUAGCCAGCAGGCCGACAGGCAAACUCCCAUCCCUGGACCAGACGGGGAACGCGAUCCAGACCAAGAGGAAGCGGCUGUUCCCAGGGGCUAGUGCCCCGCUGGACCGCCUGUCUGUCGGCAAUAUGGACAUUAAGGGUAAAAAGAGGAAGGAGGUGGAAUCGCCAAGGAGGCGAGUGAGCGCCCCCAUCGACAGAAUUGGGAUGGGAAGAUUCCCCAGCAGACUGGGCUGAGACACGCCCCGCCGCCCCCUACAGGGUGGCCCUUUACGAGUGGACAAGAGAUAAAGGACUACACUCUCGCACAAAAUCACUAAUUCACACAAACCCACUCCCACUCCACUCACACACCAACACACAAACCCACUCCCACUCCACUCACACACCAACACACAUCCCCACUCCCACUCCACUCACACACCAACACACAU